GCCUGGCUGUCAAGGAAGGAUGCUGUUGUCGGUCAGAGUCGAAUCUAAGCCUACUGUAAAUGUCUCCUUCCGGUUCUAAUAAAGGAGCAGGAUAGUUGUCAGACACAGGGUCCUACCCUGCCAUCACACUUUAAAAAUGAAACUGGGAAGACCACGGUUGGUGUCUAUCUCCUCUUUAAACCGGAUAGAUCUGCACCAGGCCACCCUACUAACCACAUCCCUUUGUAACUAGAGCAACCUCAGCACAUUUCCAUCCAGCUACUGCCUCUGCCCAAGGUCUUGUCUGGGGCCCUGAGUUGGCUGCAAAGAGGAAACAGAUGCCUGCCUGGCCCAGAAGGACCUCCAUGCAGAGGCAUCAAAAGCCUACAGCCAGGAUCCCCGUCACCUCGACACAAGACUGGACCUCUGGUCUUUGUCAUAACAGGAAGGAACUAUGAGGAAAUUCAACAAUGAGGUAGCUGGCUAUGAUGCUGCCUAGAGUUCCAUAGUGAAAUGUGCCACAUUGGCCCCAACAGAUCUACUCUCUUGGGGACAGUGAAUGAGAAACUCACCAGGGAGAGAGGAAGGGAGGAAGAGGUAUGUUUGGUCUGGGGGACAAGAUGGCUAAACCACACGGAAGAUAAUAGAUGCUCAGUUUGUUGGAGCAAAAGAAGCCAUGAGUUCUCAGAGUUUGUCAUGGGUGACGAUGUUCAAGGCGCUAGAAUUUGUUCUUACCUGAGGCGUGGGAUCGGUCCUCCUCAGUCCUCAUCAAUCUUCAUCUGGCUUUUAUUUUUCUCAUAAGUCUCAAAUUAAGAUUCCGUCACAUGUGCUCACAAAUGGAUAUCUGGUGUGAGUGGAGCUGACUGGACCUUUUGGAGUAAGAUUCUGGCAUCCACAGGGGGAAAAACACAGCACUGAGCAACUGUAGCAGAACGAGGGAAGGAAGCAUCUGCAUCCCCAGAAGGUCAAGAAAUUUCAUGCAGAUACGGGAGAGCAUGAACCUGAGGGUGAAAGCAUCGACAACUGAAUUUCAAAGGCCUCCUGGCAAGUACAUGGAAAGCGAUGCUCAGCAGAAUGACCCUAAUGCUUCCGACUUAAAUGUCUGAAGUACUACAGGAGGAGAAGCUUCUAGUUCCAGCACACACAACCGUGCCUGUGGGUCCUGCCGAUUGCAUUCUAAGGAACUUUAAUCACAGGGUCUGACUCUCAGGGACGCACCCAACCACAUAGUAUGGUAUGUUACGGAGUCGUAAAAGCUAUAUGACAUAGUUAAGGA
Neofelis nebulosa (Clouded leopard) is the source of this 1255-nucleotide long non-coding RNA. RefSeq lists it as uncharacterized. The record is from RefSeq and is a predicted model, not a curated record. The transcript has 4 exons. NCBI's taxonomy places the organism in Eukaryota, Metazoa, Chordata, Mammalia, Carnivora, Felidae.